ACUCUGUUGGUAGAGUACAAAGCUCUUAACCUUGUGGACGUGGGUUCAAGCCCCAU
Molecule: transfer RNA, 56 nt
Filed under: Triticum aestivum (bread wheat)
Lineage: Eukaryota; Viridiplantae; Streptophyta; Magnoliopsida; Poales; Poaceae
Also listed under: 1 other name
Rfam family: tRNA
About the family: Transfer RNA (tRNA) molecules are approximately 80 nucleotides in length. Their secondary structure includes four short double-helical elements and three loops (D, anti-codon, and T loops). Further hydrogen bonds mediate the characteristic L-shaped molecular structure. tRNAs have two regions of fundamental functional importance: the anti-codon, which is responsible for specific mRNA codon recognition, and the 3' end, to which the tRNAs corresponding amino acid is attached (by aminoacyl-tRNA synthetases). tRNAs cope with the degeneracy of the genetic code in two manners: having more than one tRNA (with a specific anti-codon) for a particular amino acid; and 'wobble' base-pairing, i.e. permitting non-standard base-pairing at the 3rd anti-codon position.
Source: Rfam by way of RNAcentral